GACAGAGGGUGCAACCGUUGUUCGGAAUUACUGGGCGUAAAGCGUGUGUAGGCGGCUACGUAAGUCGGAUGUGAAAGCCCCGGGCUCAACCCGGGAAGUGCACUCGAUACUGCGUAGCUUGAGUCUCGGAGAGGUUGGUGGAAUUCUCGGUGUAGAGGUGAAAUUCGUAGAUAUCGAGAGGAACACCGGUGGCGAAGGCGGCCAACUGGACGAAGACUGACGCUGAGACACGAAAGCGUGGGGAGCAAACAGG
This 253-nucleotide ribosomal RNA is filed under the name uncultured bacterium. RNAcentral's name for it is "partial 16S ribosomal RNA". It matches the Rfam family "Bacterial small subunit ribosomal RNA", at positions 524 to 776 of the family's 1533-position model. The record is from RNAcentral.